AUUGAACGCUGGCGGCAUGCCUUACACAUGCAAGUCGAACGGCAGCGCGGGGCAACCUGGCGGCGAGUGGCGAACGGGUGAGUAACAUAUCGGAACAUACCCUAGAGUGGGGAUAACGUAGCGAAAGUUACGCUAAUACCGCAUACGCACUAAGGUGGAAAGUGGGGGAUCUUCGGACCUCAUGCUCAUGGAGUGGCCGAUAUCUGAUUAGCUAGUUGGUGAGGUAAAGGCUCACCAAGGCGACGAUCAGUAGCUGGUUUGAGAGAACGACCAGCCACACCGGAACUGAGACACGGUCCAGACUCCUACGGGAGGCAGCAGUGGGGAAUUUUGGACAAUGGGGGCAACCCUGAUCCAGCAAUGCCGCGUGAGUGAAGAAGGCCUUCGGGUUGU
RNAcentral lists this ribosomal RNA (393 nucleotides) under uncultured bacterium. RNAcentral's name for it is "bacterial SSU rRNA". It matches the Rfam family "Bacterial small subunit ribosomal RNA", at positions 30 to 426 of the family's 1533-position model. The record is from RNAcentral.